RNAcentral lists this ribosomal RNA (253 nucleotides) under uncultured bacterium. RNAcentral describes it as "partial 16S ribosomal RNA". It matches the Rfam family "Bacterial small subunit ribosomal RNA", at positions 524 to 776 of the family's 1533-position model. The record is from RNAcentral.
UACGUAGGGUGCAAGCGUUGUCCGGAAUUAUUGGGCGUAAAGAGCUCGUAGGCGGUUCGUCGCGUCGGCUGUGAAAACCUGAGGCUCAACCUCAGGCCUGCAGUCGAUACGGGCGGACUUGAGUACUGCAGGGGAGACUGGAAUUCCUGGUGUAGCGGUGGAAUGCGCAGAUAUCAGGAGGAACACCGGUGGCGAAGGCGGGUCUCUGGGCCGUUACUGACGCUGAGGAGCGAAAGCGUGGGGAGCGAACAGG